AGAGUUUGAUCAUGGCUCAGGACGAACGCUGGCGGUGCGCCUUAUGCAUGCAAGUCGAGCGAAGCUUUUCAGUAGUUUACUACAGAAAAUGACUGAGCGGCGAACGGUGAGUAACGCGUGAGCAACCUACCUUAGUUACUGGGAUAGCCCGAGGAAACUCGGAUUAAUACCGGAUAUUCUUAUUUAAUCACAUGAUUUUUUAAGGAAAGGUCAGCCGAACUAAGAUGGGCUCGCGUUCUAUCAGCUAGUUGGUAGGGUAACGGCCUACCAAGGCUACGACGGAUAGCUGGUCUGAGAGGACGAUCAGCCACACUGGGACUGAGACACGGCCCAGACUCCUACGGGAGGCUGCAGCAGGGAAUAUUGUGCAAUGAACGAAAGUUUGACACAGCGACACCGCGUGUGGGAUGACGGAUCUAGGUUUGUAAACCACUUUCAGGAGGGAAGAAAAUGACGGUACCUCCACAAGAAGCCCCGGCCAACUACGUGCCAGCAGCCGCGGUAAUACGUAGGGGGCGAGCGUUGUCCGGAUUUAUUGGGCGUAAAGAGCUCGUAGGCGGUUCAACAAGUCGGUCGUGAAAGUUCAGGGCUCAACCCUGAAAUGUCGAUCGAUACUGUUGUGACUAGGAUACGGCAGAGGUGAGUGGAAUUCCGAGUGUAGCGGUGAAAUGCGUAGAUAUUCGGAGGAACACCAAUUGCGAAGGCAGCUCACUGGGCCGCUAUCGACGCUGAGGAGCGAAAGCUAGGGGAGCAAACAGGAUUAGAUACCCUGGUAGUCCUAGCUGUAAACGAUGGAUACUAGAUGUAGGAAUUGGUUUAACGAUUUCUGUAUCGUAGCUAACGCGUUAAGUAUCCCGCCUGGGGAGUACGGUCGCAAGACUAAAACUCA
Molecule: ribosomal RNA, 889 nt
Filed under: uncultured Actinomycetes bacterium
Lineage: Bacteria; Bacillati; Actinomycetota; Actinomycetes
Description: bacterial SSU rRNA
Rfam family: Bacterial small subunit ribosomal RNA
Source: RNAcentral